RNAcentral lists this ribosomal RNA (241 nucleotides) under uncultured bacterium. RNAcentral describes it as "partial 16S ribosomal RNA". It matches the Rfam family "Bacterial small subunit ribosomal RNA", at positions 536 to 776 of the family's 1533-position model. The record is from RNAcentral.
AAGCGUUGUUCGGAUUCAAUGGGAGUAAAGGGUGCGUAGGUGGUCGGGUAAGUCUGAUGUGAAAUCUUCGAGCUCAACUCGAAAAUGGCAUUGGAUACUAUUCGGCUGGAGGGUUGGAAGGGGGACUGGAAUUCUCGGUGUAGCAGUGAAAUGCGUAGAUAUCGAGAGGAACACCGGUGGCGAAGGCGAGUCCCUGGACAAUUCCUGACACUGAGGCACGAAAGCUAGGGGAGCAAACAGG